Molecule: ribosomal RNA, 537 nt
Filed under: uncultured Bacteroidales bacterium
Lineage: Bacteria; Pseudomonadati; Bacteroidota; Bacteroidia; Bacteroidales
Description: bacterial SSU rRNA
Rfam family: Bacterial small subunit ribosomal RNA
Source: RNAcentral
AGGUAUUCCGGUAGACGAUGGGGAUGCGUUCCAUUAGAUAGUAGGCGGGGUAACGGCCCACCUAGUCUUCGAUGGAUAGGGGUUCUGAGAGGAAGGUCCCCCACAUUGGAACUGAGACACGGUCCAAACUCCUACGGGAGGCAGCAGUGAGGAAUAUUGGUCAAUGGGCGAGAGCCUGAACCAGCCAAGUAGCGUGAAGGAUGACUGCCCUAUGGGUUGUAAACUUCUUUUAUAAAGGAAUAAAGUCGGGUAUGGAUACCCGUUUGCAUGUACUUUAUGAAUAAGGAUCGGCUAACUCCGUGCCAGCAGCCGCGGUAAUACGGAGGAUCCGAGCGUUAUCCGGAUUUAUUGGGUUUAAAGGGAGCGUAGAUGGAUGUUUAAGCCAGUUGUGAAAGUUUGCGGCUCAACCGUAAAAUUGCAGUUGAUACUGGAUAUCUUGAGUGCAGUUGAGGCAGGCGGAAUUCGUGGUGUAGCGGUGAAAUGCUUAGAUAUCACGAAGACUCCGAUUGCGAAGGCAGCCUGCUAAGCUGCAACUGA